UGGUCCUGCGGGCGGGCAGGUUGCACCCAAGCGAACGUUCUCACGCCAAGAACAACACGGGUCUGUGACCCUGUGAGACCGACGUACAAAAAUGUAAUGUCCCAGAACUUUUCAGUGAGAUGAUCGAUCAGAAGUUGAUUUGCAGAUUUGCAAUGCAUAUGUAAACGAAGACGCGGGGAGGCAAGAGAAAGCUACGUGAAGCGAGGGACAAUUGUAUGAGAAGAGGUUUUAGGCAGUAUGCAGGAAGACCUUUGCUCAGCACAAAAUCGUCAUUGGUUUGGUCAAAUUGACGAUUUCCGUUGGCGUAGAUUACGUAUUUUCAAAUCGGGAGCUUGUAGAUUGGGUUUAUCUCGAGGAUUGCUACAUAUAUAGUUUAGAUAUACUAGAACACUUUUGUACGCAUUAUAUUGUUUUAUAAACAUCAUUAUGUAACCAUAGAUAGGACUAAGCUUCAAGUAAGCUUCAAAAAUUGUUGUUUUGACAUUGAUCAUAGUAAAACCGAGCUUUCUGCUCCCAUAGACAUAGGCUAUUGAUGAAUCACGCAAAUAUUGUGCGUUCUAGUUGUGUUUUUUAUUCUUCUUAUUAUUGUUCGAUUGCUUCUUGAGUA
Malania oleifera is the source of this 607-nucleotide long non-coding RNA. RefSeq lists it as uncharacterized. Lineage: Eukaryota; Viridiplantae; Streptophyta; Magnoliopsida; Santalales; Ximeniaceae. The transcript has 2 exons. The record is from RefSeq and is a predicted model, not a curated record.